Long non-coding RNA from Leopardus geoffroyi (Geoffroy's cat), 296 nucleotides. RefSeq lists it as uncharacterized. The transcript has 2 exons. Lineage: Eukaryota; Metazoa; Chordata; Mammalia; Carnivora; Felidae. The record is from RefSeq and is a predicted model, not a curated record.
CUGGAAGGUGAGGACAGGCCCUGGUUCACCGACAGCGUCCAGGGCCCAGCUCUAUGCCUGGCACACGAAUAACAUACACAGAAUAUGCUCAUCUGGAGCGUAUAGCUUGAUGAUUGCCUUACGUAUGCAUACACCCCUGUAAUCACCACCUACAUCAAGCCAGAGAACCUUCCAGAGAAGCUUCCUUCAUGUUCCUGCCUUGCCAAUCCCACACCCCCAGCAGAAGCACCACGGGCUUUUAUUACCACCGAUUAGCUUUGCCUGUUCCUGAACUUUAUAUAAAUGGAAUCAUGCCA